RNAcentral lists this ribosomal RNA (382 nucleotides) under uncultured eukaryote. RNAcentral's name for it is "partial 18S ribosomal RNA". It matches the Rfam family "Eukaryotic small subunit ribosomal RNA", at positions 592 to 976 of the family's 1831-position model. The record is from RNAcentral.
UGUAAGCGUAUACCAAAGUUGUUGCAGUUAAAACGCUCGUAGUCGGACUUUGGCAGUUCCGGAUGUGUGCACGUCGUGUGCGCACUUCGCGGGGAUUGCUUUUGUGGUCUUGCGUAGGAUGAGGCACUUUUAUUAGUGAACGUCCUCACGCAACCACUUUUUGCUGUGAGAAAAUCAGAGUGCUCAAAGCAGGCAUUUGCCGUGAAUGUAUUAGCAUGGAAUAAUAGAAUAGGACUUGGUUCUAUUUUGUUGGUUUGUUGGGACUGAGUAAUGAUUAAGAGGGACAGUUGGGGGCAUUUGUAUUUCGGUGCUAGAGGUGAAAUUCUUAGAUUACCGAAAGACAAACUGCUGCGAAAGCGUCUGCCAAGGAUGUUUUCAUUGA